This is a microRNA precursor of Gallus gallus (chicken), 60 nucleotides long. The record is from Ensembl. Lineage: Eukaryota; Metazoa; Chordata; Aves; Galliformes; Phasianidae.
UGGGUGGGACGUAGCCUCACAGUGGUGUGCUUCUGCCCACAGGAGGCUGCGUCCCAUCCA